CGGGGAGGCGCCCGCGCGUUACGUGAUGAAACCCGCCCGGCGGGCGCAACAGGAGGCUCCCCCGCGGGGGGCAGUGCGCGGCCCGCCGCGUCACGUGAUGCUCCCUGCCAACAGCUGAAUGAAGAUUUCAAAGAAUCUAGAGGAAGUCAAAACUGCAAAAUAGAAGAAGCACGGGGCCCCAAAUUAGUCCUUGAAGGAAUCCUGCCCCAGAGAACUGCAUGACCAGAUAUGAAUGGAAAACCACGUAUCACCAGUUCUUGAGGAAAUUCAACAGCUCUAAAGAAAAGGACUAACAAUAACAACAGAAAGAUGAACAAACUGAAAACUGACCCCAGAGAAAAGACAGAUAAAAGAACAGAAAAAAAAGUUGUAAAAAUUCUAAAUAAUAUCAUCCUUAGAAAGACGCAUGGGGAUAUUGCAGGAGGCUGCUGUGAAAAGGAAACAAACAACUGCUGGGAUAAAGGAAAAACAACAAGCAAACAAAAUGGAAAUUUUAAAAGAUGAUAGUAAAAUUAAGUAAAACAAUGGAUAGAAUAAAUAAUAGGAUGUAUAUGGCAAAAACUGGGGAUACUUUCCAGAAGCUAAGUGGGGGUAUAUCUCCCUGAGUAUACAAAAAACAUCAAGAAUGGAAAUUUUGAGAGAAAAAUCAAGAGACUGCCAUGGACUGAAUUGUGUCCCCUUCCUCCCAAAUUCACAUGUUGAACCCCUAACCUCAAGGUAUAUGGGGAUAGGGCCUGUGAGGAGAUAAUAAAAGUUAAAUGAGGGCAGAAGGGUAGGACCCUAAUUUGAUUGAGCUGGUGCCCUUAUAAGAAGAGGAAGAGACACUAGAGCUAUCUCUCCAUCGUGUGAGGACACAGUGAGAAGGCAGCUGUCUGCAAGCCAGGAAGAGAGCCCUCACCAGAAACUGAAUUGGUCAGCACCUUCAUCUUAGCCUUCAAAACUGUAAGAAAAUAAAUUUCUGUUGUUUAAGCCACCCAGUCUAUGGUAUUUUGUUAUGGCAGCCCAAGUUUAGUAAUAUAGAGACACAAAGGAUUUAUUCACAAAUGCCUCCAUUCAUUCAAAAGAAGUAUCAAGAGAGAACUGAGAUUCGGCGGGGAAGAGGUCUACAAAAAAAUAAGAAAAGAAAAUUUCCCCAACUCAAAGAAAGGCUCAAGACUUCUUAGGGCCUGCCAAGUGUCAAGCAAGGUAAAAUUUCAGAGCCAAGAGAACAAAGAAGAAAACAAAGAGAAAAAGAAUUCAGAGAAGAAAAACAGGUUUCCUAAAAGGAACAAAAAUGAGAUUGUCUUCCAGACUUCCAAAAGGUAACUGAAUGCUGGGCAACAAUGAAGCAAUAACUUCAAAAUUUGGAAUUAAAUACUUUUGAGCCUAGAAUUAUGUACCAUGCUAGCCAAACUAGCAUUCAAGGGAGAGAGCCAAAAAAGACAUUUUCUAUUUCCCCUUCAGAUUGUCAAAAAUGAGGAAACCUGAUUAAAUCCAGCAAUAGCAAGGUUUCAGGGGAAAUGGUACUCUCAGACUCUGUGGGAAUGUCAAUUAGUACAACAAUUUUUUAGAGAGCCACUUGGAAGUGUGUAUCAAAAAUUUCCAUUUCCAGCUAUCUAAUCUGGAGAAAAACUUGUACAAAUGCGUGAGAGGCUCACACAAUGAGGUCAAGAGCGCAGAUCCUGGAGUCAGAGUCCUGGGGGUCGAAUCCCAGCUCAGCUCAGCCACUCUUAGUCAUGGGACUUUGGGUGAGAUUAGUUGCCUCAACAGUGAAAUAGGGGUGAUAAUACAUAGUACCUAUUUCACAGAGUUUUGUUGUUGUUUUGAUUCAUUUUGUUUUUUAAGAAUUGAACAAAUUACAAUGUGCAAAGUGCUUAAAACACCCUGGUACAGUAGUCACACUUUAUUGCUGGGGGAUACAUUCGAAAACACCCAAUGGCUACCUGAAAACUUUGAGAGUACUGAACCCUAUAUAUACUAUGCUUUUUCCUAUUCAUUCAUACCUAUGAUAAAGUUUAAUUUAUAAAUUAGGCACAGUAAGAGUUUAACAACAAUAAGUAAUAAUAAAAUAGAGCAAUUGUUACAACAGAGAGUUGACUCUUGAAAAACAUGGGGAUUAGAGGUGCUGAUCCCCACUGUAGUCGAAAAUCCGCAUAUAACUUUACAGUCGGCCCUCCGAAUCUGUGGUUCUGCAUCCCAGAUUCAACGAUCCACGGAUUGUGGAAUACUGCAGUGUGUAUUUAUUGGGGAAAAAAUCCACGUAUAAGUGGAUCUGCACAG
Balaenoptera musculus (blue whale) is the source of this 2259-nucleotide long non-coding RNA. RefSeq lists it as uncharacterized. The transcript is spliced from 3 exons. NCBI's taxonomy places the organism in Eukaryota, Metazoa, Chordata, Mammalia, Artiodactyla, Balaenopteridae. The record is from RefSeq and is a predicted model, not a curated record.